This is a non-coding RNA of Brassica napus (rape), 106 nucleotides long. Lineage: Eukaryota; Viridiplantae; Streptophyta; Magnoliopsida; Brassicales; Brassicaceae. The record is from Rfam.
GGGAAGUGAUGAUUGGGUUUAUCUCUCGCUUUUUAAUGCGUGAAGAGCGUUCCGCUCAAACCUCUUACGACAAUUGGGCGCUCCAAUUUUCAUUUAAUCUGAUCCC